RNAcentral lists this ribosomal RNA (497 nucleotides) under uncultured bacterium. RNAcentral describes it as "partial 16S ribosomal RNA". It matches the Rfam family "Bacterial small subunit ribosomal RNA", at positions 28 to 507 of the family's 1533-position model. The record is from RNAcentral.
GAUGAACGCUGGCGGCGUGCCUAAUACAUGCAAGUCGAGCGAACAGACGAGGAGCUUUCUCCUCUGACGUUAGCGGCUGACGGGUGAGUAACACGUGGAUAACCUACCUAUAAGACUGGGAUAACUUCGUGAAACCGCAGCUAAUACCGGAUAAUAUAUUGAACCGCAUGGUUCAAUAGUUCAAGACGGUUUUGCUGUCACUUAUAGAUGGAUCCGCGCCGCAUUAUCUAGUUGGUAAGGUAACGGCUUACCAAGGCAACGAUGCGUAGCCGACCUGAGAGGGUGAUCGGCCACACUGGAACUGAGACACGGUCCAGACUCCUACGGGAGGCAGCAGUAGGGAAUCUUCCGCAAUGGGCGAAAGCCUGACGGAGCAACGCCGCGUGAGUGAUGAAGGUCUUCGGAUCGUAAAACUCUGUUAUUAGGGAAGAAAAAAUGUGUAAGUAACUAUGCACGUCUUGACGGUACCUAAUCAGAAAGCAACGGCUAACUACGUG